GAUGAACGUUGGCGGUGUGCCUAAUACAUGCAAGUCGAACGGAGUUAGUAGCAAUACUGGCUCAGUGGCGAACGGGUGAGUAACGCGUUGGUGAUCUGCCUUGAAGUGUGGAAUAACGUUUCGAAAGGAACGCUAAUACCGCAUGUGCUCUCGAUUUUCAGAAAGUUGAGAGUAAAGGAUUUAUUCGCUUCAAGAGGAGCCUGCGUCCCAUCAGCUGGUUGGUAGGGUAACGGCCUACCAAGGCUAUGGACGGGUAGGGGACCUGAGAGGGUCGGCCCCCCACAAUGGAACUGAAACACGGUCCAUACACCGUACGGGUGGCAGCAGUAGGGAAUAUUAGAAAUGGACGAAAGUCUGAUCUAGCAACACCGCGUGUGCGAAGAAGGCCUUCGGGUCGUAAAGCACUUUUUGGAAGGAAUAGGAAGGAAUGUACUUCCAGAAUAAGUCUCGGCUAACUACGUG
Molecule: ribosomal RNA, 462 nt
Filed under: uncultured bacterium
Lineage: Bacteria
Description: bacterial SSU rRNA
Rfam family: Bacterial small subunit ribosomal RNA
Source: RNAcentral